GCCUGGCUGGCUCAGUCAGUAGAGCAUGGAAUUUUUCAUCUCAAGGUUAUGAGUUCAAGCCCCAUGUUGGGUA
Molecule: transfer RNA, 73 nt
Filed under: Mustela putorius furo (domestic ferret)
Lineage: Eukaryota; Metazoa; Chordata; Mammalia; Carnivora; Mustelidae
Rfam family: tRNA
About the family: Transfer RNA (tRNA) molecules are approximately 80 nucleotides in length.
Source: Rfam by way of RNAcentral